RNAcentral lists this transfer RNA (118 nucleotides) under Naumovozyma dairenensis CBS 421. It matches the Rfam family "tRNA". Rfam says of the family: Transfer RNA (tRNA) molecules are approximately 80 nucleotides in length. Their secondary structure includes four short double-helical elements and three loops (D, anti-codon, and T loops). The record is from Rfam by way of RNAcentral. Lineage: Eukaryota; Fungi; Ascomycota; Saccharomycetes; Saccharomycetales; Saccharomycetaceae.
GGUUGUUUGGCCGAGCGGUCUAAGGCGCCUGAUUCAAGGAAAAAAGUUCUUGACUGCAGAAAACUGCAGGAACACUCAGGUAUCGUAAGAUGCAAGAGUUCGAAUCUCUUAGCAACCA